RNAcentral lists this ribosomal RNA (497 nucleotides) under uncultured bacterium. RNAcentral's name for it is "partial 16S ribosomal RNA". It matches the Rfam family "Bacterial small subunit ribosomal RNA", at positions 28 to 507 of the family's 1533-position model. The record is from RNAcentral.
GAUGAACGCUGGCGGCGUGCCUAAUACAUGCAAGUCGAGCGAACGGACGAGAAGCUUGCUUCUCUGAUGUUAGCGGCGGACGGGUGAGUAACACGUGGAUAACCUACCUAUAAGACUGGGAUAACUUCGGGAAACCGGAGCUAAUACCGGAUAAUAUUUUGAACCGCAUGGUUCAAAAGUGAAAGACGGUCUUGCUGUCACUUAUAGAUGGAUCCGCGCUGCAUGAGCUAGUUGGUAAGGUAACGGCUUACCAAGGCAACGAUGCAUAGCCGACCUGAGAGGGUGAUCGGCCACACUGGAACUGAGACACGGUCCAGACUCCUACGGGAGGCAGCAGUAGGGAAUCUUCCGCAAUGGGCGAAAGCCUGACGGAGCAACGCCGCGUGAGUGAUGAAGGUCUUCGGAUCGUAAAACUCUGUUAUUAGGGAAGAACAUAUGUGUAAGUAACUGUGCACAUCUUGACGGUACCUAAUCAGAAAGCCACGGCUAACUACGUG